GUAAAAAAAUCGUAACAAGGUUUCCGUAGGUGAACCUGCGGAAGGAUCAUUAUCGAGUUUUGAAAGGGGUUGUAGCUGGCCUUCCGAGGCAUGUGCACGCCCCGCUCAAUCCACUCUACACCUGUGCACUUACUGUGGGUCUCGGAGGUGAAGCGCGCUUUCGCUCGCGGAUCUGACGGGCCCGCGUUUUACUACAAACACUUUAAAGUAAACGAACGUGUAUCGCGAUGUAACGCAUCUAUAUACAACUUUCAGCAACGGAUCUCUUGGCUCUCGCAUCGAUGAAGAACGCAGCGAAAUGCGAUAAGUAAUGUGAAUUGCAGAAUUCAGUGAAUCAUCGAAUCUUUGAACGCACCUUGCGCUCCUUGGUAUUCCGAGGAGCAUGCCUGUUUGAGUGUCAUGAAAUUCUCAACCUACCGGUCUUUGCGGAUCGGUAAGGCUUGGACUUGGAGGCUUGUCGGCCGUGUGGUCAACUCCUCUCAAAUGCAUUAGCCUGGUUCCUUGCGGAUCGGCUCUCGGUGUGAUAAUUGUCUACGCCGCGACCGUGAAGCGUUUGGCUGGCUUCUAACCGUCUCGAUGGAGACAACUUUCUGACCUCUGACCUCAAAUCAGGUAGGACUACCCGCUGAACUUAAGCAUAUCAAUAAGCGGAGGAA
RNAcentral lists this ribosomal RNA (656 nucleotides) under Perenniporia fraxinea. RNAcentral describes it as "eukaryotic LSU rRNA". The stretch from base 247 to 400 matches the Rfam family "5.8S ribosomal RNA". Lineage: Eukaryota; Fungi; Basidiomycota; Agaricomycetes; Polyporales; Polyporaceae. The record is from RNAcentral.